UGCCUCAGGUGUUCCGUGUUGCUGUCAGAGUUUGGGAAACUUGCCUUUCAAAAAGGGAUACCUGUCAUUGGAUUUUAAAUGCAGCGUGGGGGCGUCCCAGCGCGCGGUUAGCUGAGGGAGCAGAGCCUAAGCUGCUGAGGGAGGAGAUUUGCACAGAGGCCUACACAGUGGCUGUUGCCGGAGAGGGAGGCCGGAUUGCUAGAACAGGUCGUUGGGAGCAGAGAACGCAGGAGCAUCAAAUUCUCGAGCAAAUUGUUGUCCAGGUGCGAACCGAGAUUUGGCCUUUUCCACCCAGAGAAAAAGGAAAGGCUCAUGGGCACACAGUGCUGGGAUCGUGGGCACACAGGAGAAAAUGCUGACAUCGUGUUGAUGAGGAUUCCAAUCUGCAUGAUAAAUACAGUUCUCACUGUAAAUGUCUGUAAACUCGAGUACUGCGGGUCCAUCCCGGAAAGGCAGAGCCUCUCUCCCCAGGAGCAUCUGAACCUGCGGAAGCCAAGGGUCAGGCCCCAAGGAGAAGCCACCUGGAAAUUCCACCCCGUGAGAUGUUACAUUCCCCUCAAACCUUUCUGAAGUAUGAUAGGUUGUAUAUUAAGGUUUUUUCCAUAGUUUGAGUCUUUUUCCUUAGAGUAGUAAUUUUUAAAACAUUUCCUUGAGCACUGACAGUGUGCCAGGCACUGUUCUAAGCCCUUUAGAAGUAACAGUGCAUUCUUUGACGGGAGUUCUGGGACCUAGGGUUGUGAACUUAAAUUUUUUUUUUUUUAAGAUUGGCACCCAAGGUAACAACUGUUGCCAAUCUUCUUUUUUAUUUUCUGCUUUUUCUCCCCAAAUCCCCCCAGUACAUAGUUGUAUGUUUUAGUUGUGGGUCCUUCUAGUUGUGGCAUGUGACAUGUCACCUCAACAUGGCACGAUGAGCGGUGCCAUGUCCGCGUCCAGGAUCUGAACCGGCAAAACCCUGGGCCACCAAAGCAGAGCACGCGAACUUAACCACUUGGCCGUGGGGCCAGCCCUGUGAACUUAAAUUUUUUUUCUCUUUUUAAAUACCAAAACACUCAAGAAAGGCUAAAAAAAAAAUCCAAAUUAGAAAAUUAUAAAAGAAAUGAGACCCUUCUCCAUCCAACUCAUCUUGCCCUCCAGAGCUAGAGCUGCUAAUAGCUCAGCGUAUGACUCCUUCCUGACUUUUCUUAGGAUUUUACAGUCAUAGCCAUAAAGUAAAAUAAAAUAUACUAUAUAUA
Equus caballus (horse) is the source of this 1232-nucleotide non-coding RNA. The record is from RefSeq and is a predicted model, not a curated record. NCBI's taxonomy places the organism in Eukaryota, Metazoa, Chordata, Mammalia, Perissodactyla, Equidae.